This 468-nucleotide ribosomal RNA is filed under the name uncultured bacterium. RNAcentral's name for it is "partial 16S ribosomal RNA". It matches the Rfam family "Bacterial small subunit ribosomal RNA", at positions 28 to 507 of the family's 1533-position model. The record is from RNAcentral.
GACGAACGCUGGCGGCGGGCUUAACACAUGCAAGUCGAACGGAGAGGCCGUGCUUAGGGGGGGUGCUCGGAGGGCGGACGGGUGAGUAACACGUGGGUAACCUGCCCUUGACGUUGGGAUAACGUCAUGAAACUUGGGCUCAUAGCGGGUAGGAGCUACUGCUGAAGGGUGGGGGUGGGAAAGUUUAGGCGGUUGGGGAGGGACUGGCGGCUUAUUAGGUUGUUGGUGGGGUAGUGGCUGACCAUGGCUUUGACGGGUAGCCGGACCGAGAGGGUGACCGGCCACAGCGGGACUGAGACACGGACCCGACCCCUACGGGAGGGAGCAGCGGGGAAUAGUGCACUAUGGGCGUGAGGCUGAUGCAGCAACGCCGCGGGCGGGAGGACGGUCUUGGCGUUGGAAUCCUAUUUCGCCUGCGACGAAGCGGGUGUGACGGUUACGGGCAGAGAAGGCCCGGCUUACUACGUU